RNAcentral lists this ribosomal RNA (255 nucleotides) under uncultured bacterium. RNAcentral describes it as "partial 16S ribosomal RNA". It matches the Rfam family "Bacterial small subunit ribosomal RNA", at positions 524 to 776 of the family's 1533-position model. The record is from RNAcentral.
UACGGAGGGUGCAAGCGUUAUCCGGAUUCACUGGGUUUAAAGGGUGCGUAGGUGGCGGGGUAAGUCAGGUGUGAAAUCUCGAGGCGUCAACCUCCGAAACUGCACUUGAUACUGCCUUGCUCGAGUACUGGAGAGGAGAUUGGAAUUUACGGUGUAGCAGUGAAAUGCGUAGAUAUCGUAAGGAAGACCAGUGGCGAAGGCGAAUCUCUGGACAGUUACUGACACUGAGGCACGAAGGCCAGGGGAGCAAACGGG